Non-coding RNA from Heterocephalus glaber (naked mole-rat), 1126 nucleotides. Lineage: Eukaryota; Metazoa; Chordata; Mammalia; Rodentia; Bathyergidae. The record is from RefSeq and is a predicted model, not a curated record.
CGGAAAUCCAGGCAGGGCUGCAGAGAGGAGUGAGCGGUGAAGGUCGUCCCAGCUUUUCUCCUCUGCUCUCCGUUCACCGGUGCCCAGGGACUCGGAGCCCACUCCCCCGAGAUCGGAGUCUCCCUUUGGGGUCCACCUAGGUACCUGCUGGCCCCUGAGAAGUGGGAUGCGAAUGAUUUCAGUCGGUGAGCAGAGGCAGGAAGCCCAGAAGAGGCAGCGGAGGGGACUGGGGCCGAAGGCCAGCGACCCGCGCCCUUAAGUUCUGCUCCGGGAACGAAGCAAAAACGCCCCAGGUGGAGCGAGAAACCUCUGUACUUCAGCAUCCAUGGAAUCCUCUUCCAAGCUGUAUGUCAAAAAGCAGGCUCUCUGGUCUCUGGUGCAGGCUGAUCGGAAACCACUGUGACAGCAGUUCACCCAGAUGCCACCUAAGGCCUUAGGCAUGCCCCAGGAGCAGGAGGAGGGCUGGGUGCCCCCUAGGAGUACUGGGCUGCUCUGUGCUGCUCUGGUUGGGUGGAAAACACUGUUCGCUUGGGAGACUGACCCUGAAGAGGUCUCCCCCAAAGCUGAGAAAGAGGCUGUGUGCUCAACUUGUAAGAAACUUGUUUUGGCUUCAGAAAUGUUUGUUGUGGGCUUCCUGAGCGCCUCAUCUGUCCCGGGGCAGAGGACGAGUCUCAUGUUCUCCAAGUAUAUCCAGGGUCCAAGCAGCUCUGGUAGGAGCAUUCCUGACCCCUUUCUGUAUCCCCCACGCCCACCCAUGGCCCACCCAUCCACGUGAUCUGAAACAGAUAUCAAACCCACUCCCUCCUCUUCAUCCUCCCCAACCCAGGCUGGCUUCACCGUGCCCCUGUGCUCCUCAUCCGUUCCUGCUUUCUGUCUCCCUCCCAGCGGUUCCUGGCACUGUAGCCAGAGCCCUAUUUCUGAACCACAAAUUGCACCCUCCCCAUUCCCUGCCUAAAAUCCUGCCAUGGAUUGAGUAGCAUUCCCUCAGUAUUCGUAUCUACCCCGACCCUCAGGAGGUGGCCUUGUCUGGAAAUAAGGGUCUUUGCAGAUGUCAGCUGAGGUCGUGUUGGGUUAGAGCGGGCUUUAAAUCCAGUGACUGGUGGAUUUAUAAAAAGAAGUAAGAGAA